CAAAGGAAGAGAUUAAUUGCACCAAGCAUCCCUUACUCAGAAUAGUUCCUGUGUUUCUAAUCACAUGGCAGCUGUUUGCGUGGUAAUAGUCUGCUCCGAGUUUUAUAGAAGCUGCGUUUCUUAAUUGAGUGCUUUGAAGAGUCUUAAGACCAUGCAGAAAGCAGAGUAGGGGCCCCCUCUCUGGCAGGGUUAGCUUGUAACACAGUUUGAAAUAUUUUUCAGGGAUGGUCACAGCCUUCCCUGUUAGUGUCCACAUUUCUUGGGAAGCAGUGGCCCAGACACAGGGCUCCUGCAAGCCUGGGCAUAAAACCUCACUUACGGAGGAAGCCUCGUUGGACCAGUGUGGGCCUGAGCUCUUCAUCACAGCUAGGGUCCUUCUCUAGCUUGUAGCAACAGAAACUGGCCCAGGGCUUUGCUUUUCUUCUGACCAGGUGGAACCUGAAUACGACACCCAUUUUUGAUUUUGCAAAAGGCAAGUCUUCCAGCUUCUGGGACAGACGCGUCUGACACCAGGGGAAAACUACAGUUGCGUGGUCCCUUACUCCAUCUGCCGGCUCUGCAUCCUUACCCUGUGCCCACCUCCUGGCUCUGGCUGGCUGUUGGCACCCCGCACCCGCGGGUUCCCUAUUGCAGCACCGGGAAGGCCUUUCGGGGUGAGAAGACACACAGAAGAGGAAAAGGCAAUAUGAAGACAGAGCACAGACUGGAGCUCUGCGGCCACAAGCCAAGGAAUGCCAAGGAUUGCUGGUAGCUGUCAGAGGCUGCAAGAGGCAAGGAAGGAUUCUUCCAAGAGCCUUCAAAGGGAACAUGGCCCUGAGGACACCUUGACGUUGGACUUCUAGCCUCAAAAACUGUAGAAAACAAACUUCUGUUGUUUUUAAGCACCAAGUUUGUGGUAAUUUGUUGUGGCAGCCCCAGGAAACUAGUACAUGUGGCUUAGUGGCCAACCCCAUAUUGAUAUAGAGUCUCUCUGGCCCUGAGAGCCCCAGACCUGUUUACCUGAGUGCCUACCUGACAUUUCUGGAUGUUUUAAAGUCACUUGAAAUCUAUAAUGUCCAAAACUCCUCCCUGUCCCCAAGUUUGCUCCUAUUCCAGUUUCCCCUAGGACACUAAAUGACACCAUCAUCCAUUCAGUUGAAACAUCAGAAGCUUAGGAGUCAGUCUUGACAGAUCUCUGUGCUACAUCUUGAAUGUCCAAUGAGCAAGUCCUAUUGGUUUCACUGUUAAAAUAUUUCUCAAAUAUUUACUUCCCCAUCAUUUCCACCAUCAUCACCUUUGUCCCUGCUCUGAUCAUCUCUCAUCUGAACUAUUGCAACUCUCUCUUAGGUCAUCCCCCCCACCCCAUAAGGAUGGGUCCUGGCUGUCCCCAGUCUCUCUUCUACCCUGAAGCCAUUGUACUAUUUUCAAAAUGCAGCUUUGAUUAUGUUAGCCCCUACUUAGAAUCCUCCAGGGAUUCUCACUGUGCUUAUGAUAAAUACAAAAUGAGCAUGGAAGAAGCGGGGCAAGGUUGAGCCCCAGCCUGCACCAGACUUGUCUUUGAGGGCUCCUCUUCAGUCAGCCUGGCCUGUUCUAUGUUUGCUCCUGCCCCAGAACCCUUGCACUUGCUGAUCUCCUUGAUAAGAAUGUUCUUUCCUUCCUUGUCUAGAUUACUCUGACAUAUGCUUCUGAUUCCAGUGGUUUUUCCUCAGGGGAGUUAUCCUUGAUAUUCCAAACCAGGAAGAAGUCCUUUAACUUUCAGACUUUCAUAGCGUUCUGUAUCUCUCCUCGUAGCUCUUAUCCAUGUUGCAAUUUUACAGUUUUGUUAUUAUUUUAUUAAUGGAUGUCCUCCCUUACUAGACUAUAUGCUCCACUGAGAACAGGAGAAUCAUGUCCCAAAGCCUACACCAUACAUAAUAGG
This is a long non-coding RNA of Bos taurus (domestic cattle), 1897 nucleotides long. The record is from Ensembl. NCBI's taxonomy places the organism in Eukaryota, Metazoa, Chordata, Mammalia, Artiodactyla, Bovidae.